Pongo abelii (Sumatran orangutan) is the source of this 142-nucleotide unclassified non-coding RNA. It matches the Rfam family "Metazoan signal recognition particle RNA". From Rfam's summary of the family: The signal recognition particle (SRP) is a universally conserved ribonucleoprotein. The record is from Ensembl. NCBI's taxonomy places the organism in Eukaryota, Metazoa, Chordata, Mammalia, Primates, Hominidae.
GCUGGGUGCAUGCACCUGUAGUCCCGGCUACUUGGGAGGCUGAGGUGAGAGGAUCACUUGAGCCCAGGAGGUCAGGGCUGCAGUGAGCUGUGAUCACACCAUUGCAUUCCAGCCUGGGCAACAGAGUGAGACCCUAUCUCAA